RNAcentral lists this ribosomal RNA (445 nucleotides) under uncultured bacterium. RNAcentral's name for it is "partial 16S ribosomal RNA". It matches the Rfam family "Bacterial small subunit ribosomal RNA", at positions 354 to 796 of the family's 1533-position model. The record is from RNAcentral.
GUGAGGAAUAUUGGACAAUGGGCGCAAGCCUGAUCCAGCCAUGCCGCGUGCAGGAAGACGCAUCUAUGGUGUGUAAACUGCUUUUGUACGGGAAGAAACACUCCCUCGUGAGGGAGCUUGACGGUACCGUAAGAAUAAGGAUCGGCUAACUCCGUGCCAGCAGCCGCGGUAAUACGGCGGAUCCAAGCGUUAUCCGGAAUCAUUGGGUUUAAAGGGUCCGUAGGCGGUUUAAUAAGUCAGUGGUGAAAGCCCAUCGCUCAACGAUGGAACGGCAAUUGAUACUGUUAGACUUGAAUUACAAGGAAGUAACUAGAAUAUGUAGUGUAGCGGUGAAAUGCUUAGAUAUUACAUGGAAUACCAAUUGCGAAGGCAGGUUACUACUUGUGGAUUGACGCUGAUGGACGAAAGCGUGGGGAGCGAACAGGAUUAGAUACCCUAGUAGUCC